Molecule: ribosomal RNA, 623 nt
Filed under: Acinetobacter sp.
Lineage: Bacteria; Pseudomonadati; Pseudomonadota; Gammaproteobacteria; Moraxellales; Moraxellaceae
Description: bacterial SSU rRNA
Rfam family: Bacterial small subunit ribosomal RNA
Source: RNAcentral
AACAUUUCGAAAGGAAUGCUAAUACCGCAUACGUCCUACGGGAGAAAGCAGGGGAUCUUCGGACCUUGCGCUAAUAGAUGAGCCUAAGUCGGAUUAGCUAGUUGGUGGGGUAAAGGCCUACCAAGGCGACGAUCUGUAGCGGGUCUGAGAGGAUGAUCCGCCACACUGGGACUGAGACACGGCCCAGACUCCUACGGGAGGCAGCAGUGGGGAAUAUUGGACAAUGGGCGCAAGCCUGAUCCAGCCAUGCCGCGUGUGUGAAGAAGGCCUUAUGGUUGUAAAGCACUUUAAGCGAGGAGGAGGCUACUGAAGUUAAUACCUUCAGAUAGUGGACGUUACUCGCAGAAUAAGCACCGGCUAACUCUGUGCCAGCAGCCGCGGUAAUACAGAGGGUGCAAGCGUUAAUCGGAUUUACUGGGCGUAAAGCGCGCGUAGGCGGCUAAUUAAGUCAAAUGUGAAAUCCCCGAGCUUAACUUGGGAAUUGCAUUCGAUACUGGUUAGCUAGAGUGUGGGAGAGGGAGUGUGGUUGAAUUUCCAGGGGGUAGCGGUUGAAAUGCCGUAGAGAUCCUGGGAGGAAUACCGAUGGCGAAGGCAGCCAUCUGGCCUAACACUGACGCUGAGGU